AUUGAACGCUGGCGGCAGGCCUAACACAUGCAAGUCGAGCGGUAACAGGUCAAGCUGACGAGCGGCGAACGGGUGAGUGAUAGCUGGGAAUCUACCCAUUGGAGGGGGAUAGCUACUGGAAACGGUAGGUAAUACCGCAUACGGUCGAGAGACGAAAGUGAGGGGACUCUGUCAAAGGAGCCUUCAGCCGAUGGAUGAGCCCAGCGAAGAUUAGCUAGUAGGUUUGGUAAAGGCAGACCUAGGCGACGAUCUUGAGCUGGUCUGAGAGGAUGGACAGCCACACUGGGACUGAGAUACGGCCCAGACUCCUACGGGAGGCAGCAGUGGGGAAUAUUGCACAAUGGGCGAAAGCCUGAUGCAGCCAUGCCGCGUGUGUGAAGAAGGCCUUCGGGUUGUAAAGCACUUUAGCUGGUGAGGAAGCGGGUAGAGCGGAUAAUGUUCUAUUCGUGACGUAAGCCAGAGAAUAAGCACCGGCUAACUCCGUGCCAGCCGCCGCCGUAAGAC
Molecule: ribosomal RNA, 504 nt
Filed under: uncultured bacterium
Lineage: Bacteria
Description: bacterial SSU rRNA
Rfam family: Bacterial small subunit ribosomal RNA
Source: RNAcentral